AUUGAACGCUGGCGGCAGGCCUAACACAUGCAAGUCGAACGAGUGGCGGACGGGUGAGUAAUGUCUGGGAAACUGCCCGAUGGAGGGGGAUAACUACUGGAAACGGUAGCUAAUACCGCAUACCAUCAGAUGUGCCCAGAUGGGUUUAGCUAGUUGUUGGGGUAACGGCUCACCAAGGCGACGAUCCCUAGCUGGUCUGAGAGGAUGACCAGCCAAACGGGAACGGAGACACGGUCCAGACUCCUACGGGAGGAGGAAGUGGGAAAUAUUGCACAAUGGGCGCAAGCCGGAUGCAGCCAUGCCGCGUGUAUGAAGAAGGCCUUCGGGUUGUAAAGUACUUUCAGAGGGGAGGCGUUACUCGCAGAAGAAGCACCGGCUAACUCCGUGCCAGCAGCCGCGGUAAUAC
RNAcentral lists this ribosomal RNA (406 nucleotides) under uncultured bacterium. RNAcentral's name for it is "partial 16S ribosomal RNA". It matches the Rfam family "Bacterial small subunit ribosomal RNA", at positions 30 to 526 of the family's 1533-position model. The record is from RNAcentral.